CUGAUAUUAUCCUUUUGUUGCUCUUGUCCUUUUGUGUGGCUGUCUUGCUUUGCUCCCAAAUGCUCAAGCAACCUUGAAGAAAAGAGGAGAUUUUAAGAGUUCAUCGUGAAGGUGAUGGACAUGGGUUCCGGACUCAGGCCACUUUACGCUUAUCUAAUGCUUUUAAUAGAAGGGAAGAUCUUUCUUUUGUUGAUUUGGAGCGCUC
This 205-nucleotide long non-coding RNA is filed under the name Gossypium raimondii (Peruvian cotton). Its description in RNAcentral is "long non-coding RNA (GRAI_LNC006697)". The record is from RNAcentral. Lineage: Eukaryota; Viridiplantae; Streptophyta; Magnoliopsida; Malvales; Malvaceae.